CCUCCCCGUCGUGCUGUUGCCCGAUCUGGCGCGAACGCUGGCCGAUCGCCAGAUUUCCGCCGCCGUCAGCAUUGAUGUGCGCAAUAUGCCUGAAUCACCUGAGAUUUUUGAACAGGCGAUGAAUAAUCUGCCUGGCGCUUUCUCGCCGCAAUUGCUGUUUCUUGAUGCCGACCGCAAUACCUUGAUUCGCCGCUACAGCGACACGCGCCGUUUGCAUCCGCUUUCCAGCAAAAAUCUUUCUUUAGAGAGUGCGAUCGAUAAAGAGAGUGACUUGCUGGAGCCGUUACGCUCACGUGCGGAUCUGAUCGUCGACACUUCAGAAAUGUCCGUCCAUGAGCUGGCGGAGAUGCUGCGUACC
RNAcentral lists this unclassified non-coding RNA (358 nucleotides) under uncultured fungus. Its description in RNAcentral is "partial internal transcribed spacer 1". Lineage: Eukaryota; Fungi. The record is from RNAcentral.